UUAUGAAGCAAUUCCCGAUGGGGGGAGCCCAGUGCUCCGCUGCCUUGUAACCGCAAAACACUAUGUUUAGAAAAUGGGGGAAUUAUCACAUG
This 92-nucleotide small RNA is filed under the name Limosilactobacillus fermentum. RNAcentral describes it as "Lactobacillus fermentum SMK_box_riboswitch". It matches the Rfam family "SAM-III riboswitch aptamer (SMK box)". The record is from RNAcentral. Lineage: Bacteria; Bacillati; Bacillota; Bacilli; Lactobacillales; Lactobacillaceae.